Molecule: non-coding RNA, 24 nt
Filed under: Arabidopsis thaliana (thale cress)
Lineage: Eukaryota; Viridiplantae; Streptophyta; Magnoliopsida; Brassicales; Brassicaceae
Source: RNAcentral
AUCAGCCAAACUUUUUUCCCGCCA